GAUUAAGUUAUUAAGGGCGCACGGUGGAUGCCUUGGCACUAGAAGCCGAUGAAGGACGUUACUAACGACGAUAUGCUUUGGGUAGCUGUAAGUAAGCGUUGAUCCAGAGAUUUCCGAAUGAGGGAACCCAGCAUGAGUUAUGUCAUGUUAUCGACAUGUGAAUUCAUAGCAUGUCAGAAGGCAGACCCGGAGAACUGAAACAUCUUAGUACCCGGAGGAAGAGAAAGAAAAAUCGAUUCUCUGAGUAGCGGC
RNAcentral lists this ribosomal RNA (252 nucleotides) under Staphylococcus epidermidis. Its description in RNAcentral is "partial 23S ribosomal RNA". It matches the Rfam family "Bacterial large subunit ribosomal RNA", at positions 1 to 250 of the family's 2925-position model. Lineage: Bacteria; Bacillati; Bacillota; Bacilli; Caryophanales; Staphylococcaceae. The record is from RNAcentral.